Molecule: ribosomal RNA, 301 nt
Filed under: uncultured bacterium
Lineage: Bacteria
Description: partial 16S ribosomal RNA
Rfam family: Bacterial small subunit ribosomal RNA
Source: RNAcentral
CAGUAGCCACGGUAAUACAGAGGGUGCAAGCGUUAAUCGGAAUUACUGGGCGUAAAGCGCGCGUAGGUGGUUUGUUAAGUUGGAUGUGAAAGCCCCGGGCUCAACCUGGGAACUGCAUCCAAAACUGGCAAGCUAGAGUACGGUAGAGGGUGGUGGAAUUUCCUGUGUAGCGGUGAAAUGCGUAGAUAUAGGAAGGAACACCAGUGGCGAAGGCGACCACCUGGACUGAUACUGACACUGAGGUGCGAAAGCGUGGGGAGCAAACAGGAUUAGAUACCCGUGUAGUCCCUGUCUCUUAUAA